CGAGGCUUGAGACUCUGUUCAGCAUUUCAUAACCACCGGGAUAACACUAAUUUCCAUCUCAGAAAAUUCAAUACAGACUGGCAUAUAGUCCUCUUAGUGUAUUUCCAAUGUCAUCUGCUAUGAAGAAUAAUUUAAACAAAAGACUAAUAUGUGAAGGGAAGAAAAACAGGUCACUCAAGCCUCUGUUCUCUUAUUCAUAUGUAGUCAUUUGCCUGAGAUCUAUUACGGACGUGCUACGUGAAAUGAGAAGUAAGAAGGUGAUUGUCUGGAAUGUUAGUAAUCACGAGCAAGACUGUCACUGAAAGGAUGGCUGAUUUUCUACAGAUAAUGGAAUAAAGGAUGAGAGUGAUAAAAACGCAGCGCGAUGACAUGAAGUUGAGGCCGGAAGAAGCACGCUCUAUCGUGCGAAAGGCCGGCAUCGCCUCUGAGCGCUCCCGUGAUGCGUCCUCGGUAACCUGCUGCUUGUGACCCGGACUCCGGUACUGCCUGACGUUCCUUGCAGUCAUCUCUAACCAAUCUGUUGUGAAAGGAAAAUUGAUUGCUUCAAGGACCAAAGAGAAAGAAGGGGACGUGUCCUUCGAAGUCAAAUGUAAUAUCAAUUUACAAGCAGGCAUAAAAAACUUUUUUUCUUUAACCCCUUAAUGAACCACUGAAUUUGUUUGUCUAUUCCUAUUUGAGCAGCCAAAAGUUUACUUGUUAUUUUUUUUUUUAUAGACCUACAAUGCCUUGUUUUAUACGGCAUCAAUUGAUUUUUUUGUAUGGGGUGCAUAUAAAUUAUGGUGAUUUGGUGAUUAUGGUGAUAAAUUAUGGUCAUUUAUAUAUUUAUUUAUUGCCAGCAUGAACACCGUAAGUAGGCUGUUGUUUUUUUUAUUUUUUUAUUUAGUCUUA
Long non-coding RNA from Hyla sarda, 888 nucleotides. RefSeq lists it as uncharacterized. The transcript has 3 exons. Lineage: Eukaryota; Metazoa; Chordata; Amphibia; Anura; Hylidae. The record is from RefSeq and is a predicted model, not a curated record.